Molecule: ribosomal RNA, 253 nt
Filed under: uncultured bacterium
Lineage: Bacteria
Description: partial 16S ribosomal RNA
Rfam family: Bacterial small subunit ribosomal RNA
Source: RNAcentral
UACGUAGGGUGCAGGCGUUAAUCGGAAUUACUGGGCGUAAAGCGUGCGCAGGCGGUUUUGUAAGCCAGAUGUGAAAUCCCCGGGCUUAACCUGGGAAUGGCAUUUGGGACUGCAAGGCUUGAGUGCGGCAGAGGAGACUGGAAUUCCCGGUGUAGCAGUGAAAUGCGUAGAUAUCGGGAGGAAUACCGAUGGCGAAGGCAGGUCUCUGGGCUGACACUGACGCUCAUGCACGAAAGCGUGGGGAGCAAACAGG